This 443-nucleotide ribosomal RNA is filed under the name uncultured bacterium. RNAcentral describes it as "partial 16S ribosomal RNA". It matches the Rfam family "Bacterial small subunit ribosomal RNA", at positions 338 to 795 of the family's 1533-position model. The record is from RNAcentral.
CCUACGGGUGGCAGCAGUGGGGAAUAUUGGGCAAUGGAGGAAACUCUGACCCAGCAACGCCGCGUGAAUGAUGAAGGUCUUCGGAUUGUAAAGUUCUUUUCUCAGGGAAGAGGAGAGUAACGUUACCGUAGAAAUAAGCCUGGGCUACCUACUUGCAAGCAGCCGCGGUAAUACGUAGGAGGCGAGCGUUAUCCGGAAUGACUGGGCGUAAAGGGUGGGUAGGUGGUUUGGCAAGUUAGUAGCGUAACUCGAAGGCUGAACCGUGGAACUACUACUAAAACUGUUGUACUUGAGUGCAGGAGGGGCAGAUGGAAUUCCUAGUGUAGCGGUGGAAUGCGUAGAUAUUAGGAGGAACACCAGUGGCGAAGGCGGGUUGCUAGACUGCAACUGACAGUGAGGCACGAAAGCGUGGGGAGCAAACAGGAUUAGAUACCCCUGUAGUC